RNAcentral lists this ribosomal RNA (450 nucleotides) under uncultured bacterium. RNAcentral's name for it is "bacterial SSU rRNA". It matches the Rfam family "Bacterial small subunit ribosomal RNA", at positions 390 to 836 of the family's 1533-position model. The record is from RNAcentral.
GAUCACGCCGCGUGAGUGAUGAAGGUUUCGGAUCGUAAAACUCUGUUGUUAGGGAAGACAAGUGCCAUAUACUGAUGGCACCUUGACGGUACCUAACCAGAAAGCCACGGCUAACUACGUGCCAGCAGCCGCGGUAAUACGUAGGUGGCAAGCGUUGUCCGGAAUUAUUGGGCGUAAAGCGCUCGCAGGCGGUUCUUUAAGUCUGAUGUGAAAUCUUACGGCUCAACCGUAAACGUGCAUUGGAAACUGGGGAACUUGAGUGCAGAAGAGGAGAGUGGAAUUCCACGUGUAGCGGUGAAAUGCGUAGAGAUGUGGAGGAACACCAGUGGCGAAGGCGACUCUCUGGUCUGUAACUGACGCUGAGGAGCGAAAGCGUGGGGAGCGAACAGGAUUAGAUACCCUGGUAGUCCACGCCGUAAACGAUGAGUGCUAGGUGUUAGGGGGUUUCCG